UUUAAAGAGAGUUUGAUCCUGGCUCAGGACGAACGCUGGCGGCGUGCCUAAUACAUGCAAGUCGAACGAACGGACGAAGAGCUUGCUCUUCCAAAGUUAGUGGCGGACGGGUGAGUAACACGUGGGCAACCUGCCUGUAAGUUGGGGAUAACUCCGGGAAACCGGGGCUAAUACCGAAUGAUAGAGUGUGGCGCAUGCCACGCUUUUGAAAGAUGGUUUCGGCUAUCGCUUACAGAUGGGCCCGCGGUGCAUUAGCUAGUUGGUAGGGUAAUGGCCUACCAAGGCAACGAUGCAUAGCCGACCUGAGAGGG
RNAcentral lists this ribosomal RNA (311 nucleotides) under Listeria monocytogenes. RNAcentral describes it as "bacterial SSU rRNA". It matches the Rfam family "Bacterial small subunit ribosomal RNA", at positions 1 to 300 of the family's 1533-position model. Lineage: Bacteria; Bacillati; Bacillota; Bacilli; Caryophanales; Listeriaceae. The record is from RNAcentral.